GCUGGGUGUGGCAUGCAUGCCUGUAGUCCCAGCUACUCUGAAGGCCAAGGCAGGAGGAUCACUUGAGCCCAGCAGUUUGAGACCAGCCUGGGCAAUAUAGUGAAAUCCCAUCUCAG
This 116-nucleotide small RNA is filed under the name Marmota monax (woodchuck). Lineage: Eukaryota; Metazoa; Chordata; Mammalia; Rodentia; Sciuridae. The record is from RNAcentral.